This 1194-nucleotide ribosomal RNA is filed under the name Lactiplantibacillus plantarum. Its description in RNAcentral is "bacterial SSU rRNA". It matches the Rfam family "Bacterial small subunit ribosomal RNA", at positions 30 to 1183 of the family's 1533-position model. Lineage: Bacteria; Bacillati; Bacillota; Bacilli; Lactobacillales; Lactobacillaceae. The record is from RNAcentral.
CGGACGUGGCGGCGUGCUAAUACAUGCAAGUCGAACGAACUCUGGUAUUGAUUGGUGCUUGCAUCAUGAUUUACAUUUGAGUGAGUGGCGAACUGGUGAGUAACACGUGGGAAACCUGCCCAGAAGCGGGGGAUAACACCUGGAAACAGAUGCUAAUACCGCAUAACAACUUGGACCGCAUGGUCCGAGCUUGAAAGAUGGCUUCGGCUAUCACUUUUGGAUGGUCCCGCGGCGUAUUAGCUAGAUGGUGGGGGUAAUCGGCUCAACCAUGGCAAUGAUAUCGUAGCCGACCUGAGAGGGUAAUCGGCCACAUUGGGACUGAGACACGGCCCAAACUCCUACGGGAGGCAGCAGUAAGGGAAUCUUCCACAAUGGACGAAAAGUCUGAUGGAGCAACGCCCGCGUGAGUGAAGAAGGGUUUCGGCUCGUAAAACUCUGUUGUUAAAGAAGAACAUAUCUGAGAGUAACUGUUCAGGUAUUGACGGUAUUUAACCAGAAAGCCACGGCUAACUACGUGCCAGCAGCCGCGGUAAUACGUAGGUGGCAAGCGUUGUCCGGAUUUAUUGGGCGUAAAGCGAGCGCAGGCGGUUUUUUAAGUCUGAUGUGAAAGCCUUCGGCUCAACCGAAGAAGUGCAUCGGAAACUGGGAAACUUGAGUGCAGAAGAGGACAGUGGAACUCCAUGUGUAGCGGUGAAAUGCGUAGAUAUAUGGAAGAACACCAGUGGCGAAGGCGGCUGUCUGGUCUGUAACUGACGCUGAGGCUCGAAAGUAUGGGUAGCAAACAGGAUUAGAUACCCUGGUAGUCCAUACCGUAAACGAUGAAUGCUAAGUGUUGGAGGGUUUCCGCCCUUCAGUGCUGCAGCUAACGCAUUAAGCAUUCCGCCUGGGGAGUACGGCCGCAAGGCUGAAACUCAAAGGAAUUGACGGGGGCCCGCACAAGCGGUGGAGCAUGUGGUUUAAUUCGAAGCUACGCGAAGAACCCUUACCAGGUCUUGACAUACUAUGCAAAUCUAAGAGAUUAGACGUUCCCUUCGGGGACAUGGAUACAGGUGGUGCAUGGUUGUCGUCAGCUCGUGUCGUGAGAUGUUGGGUUAAGUCCCGCAACGAGCGCAACCCUUAUUAUCAGUUGCCAGCAUUAAGUUGGGCACUCUGGUGAGACUGCCGGUGACAAACCGGAGAAGGGUGGGGGAUGAC